Long non-coding RNA from Bufo bufo (common toad), 1274 nucleotides. RefSeq lists it as uncharacterized. The transcript is spliced from 4 exons. NCBI's taxonomy places the organism in Eukaryota, Metazoa, Chordata, Amphibia, Anura, Bufonidae. The record is from RefSeq and is a predicted model, not a curated record.
AUUAUAACGUAACGGCAGCAGUGACAGGUGACAUAAUAUUACAUGGUUACAUUACAUGUGUAUUAUAACGUGACGGCAGCAGUGACAGAGGGGGCAUGAUAUUACAUGGUUACAUUACAUGUGUAUUAUAACGUGACGGCAGCAGUGACAGAGGUGACAUGAUAUUACAUGGUUACAUUACAUGUGUAUUAUAAUGUGACGGCAGCAGUGACAGAGGUGACAUGAUAUUACAUGGUUACAUUACAUGUGUAUUAUAACGUGACGGCAGCAGUGACAGAGGGGGCAUGAUAUUACAUGGUUACAUUACAUGUGUAUUAUAACGUGACGGCAGCAGUGACAGAGGUGACAUGAUAUUACAUGGUUACAUUACAUGUGUAUUAUAACGUGACGGCAGCAGUGACAGAGGUGACAUGAUAUUACAUGGUUACAUUACAUGUGUAUUAUAACGUGACGGCAGCAGUGACAGAGGUGACAUGAUAUUACAUGGUUACAUUACAUGUGUAUUAUAACGUGACGGCAGCAGUGACAGAGGUGACAUAAUAUUACAUGGUUACAUUACAUGUGUAUUAUAACGUGACGGCAGCAGUGACAGAGGUGACAUGAUAUUACAUGGUUACAUUACAUGUGUAUUAUAACGUGACGGCAGCAGUGACAGAGGUGACAUGAUAUUACAUGGUUACAUUACAUGUGUAUUAUAACGUGACGGCAGCAGUGACAGAGGUGACAUGAUAUUACAUGGUUACAUUACAUGUGUAUUAUAACGUGACGGCAGCAGUGACAGAGGUGACAUGAUAUUACAUGGUUACAUUACAUGUGUAUUAUAACGUGACGGCAGCAGUGACAGAGGUGACAUGAUAUUACAUGGUUACAUUACAUGUGUAUUAUAACGUGACGGCAGCAGUGACAGAGGUGACAUGAUAUUACAUGGUUACAUUACAUGUGUAUUAUAACGUGACGGCAGCAGUGACAGAGGUGACAUGAUAUUACAUGGUUACAUUACAUGUGUAUUAUAACGUGACGGCAGCAGUGACAGAGGUGACAUGAUAUUACAUGGUUACAUUACAUGUGUAUUAUAACGUGACGGCAGCAGUGACAGAGGUGAUAUGAUAUUACAUGGUUACAUUACAUGUGUAUUAUAACGUGACGGCAGCAGUGACAGAGGUGACAUGAUAUUACAUGGUUACAUUACAUGUGUAUUAUAACGUGACGGCAGCAGUGACAGAGGUGACAUGAUAUUACAUGGUUACAUUACAUGUGUAUUAUAACGUGACGGC